UGACCAAGUCAUGCAUAAUGAUCAUGAGUUCUAUAUAUUCACAUAAAUAACUCAGACUGAGUACUAUAUACUAGGGUUAAUCAUCUUGCUCUCUUUCCUUUAUUUGUAGUUUACACCAUUGACAGAUCUUGAUUUUCUGCUAGGCAGCCAUGAGUAGAGGUGGAAGCUUCGGCGGAGGGCAGAGUUCCUUAGGGUACCUUUUUGGGUCUGAUGAGCAACCAAAUGCACCCCCGCCGUCCCUGAUUGUCAACCUACCCCCAUACGGUGUUGAUACUAUCUCGGCGGAGAAGCCUCGACAAAAUCCUUCUUUUGAGAAGCAAAAGGAGGUCUCAAACAACUAUCACCGAGCUCAAGGACAGAAUUCUGGCAACUUCAUUACUGAUCGUCCGUCUACAAAAGUCAAGUCGGUGCCUGGAGGAGAUUCAUCUCUUGGAUACCUCUUUGGAGAUAAGUAAUGUUUCUUAAUUUCUCCAUAUAAAAUAAGGGAUUUUGAGGCUAAAUAGUAAAAAUAAGGGAUUAUCAGCUCAUCCCAUCAUUGUUGAUGAAUUUGUAAGCGUAGAAUAUGGGUCUGUCGUAAAUUGUAGUUAUGCAAAUUAGACAGAUUAUAUUAUGUGUGGUUUGUAUAUGAUAAGAGAAGUUGGCUGUUUCUGUUCUUUCCUUUUGAACCCAAGAAUCUUGUUUCAAAUGAGCCAAAAAUAAGGCAUCUUUUG
RNAcentral lists this unclassified non-coding RNA (710 nucleotides) under Hevea brasiliensis (rubber tree). Lineage: Eukaryota; Viridiplantae; Streptophyta; Magnoliopsida; Malpighiales; Euphorbiaceae. The record is from RNAcentral.